Molecule: unclassified non-coding RNA, 306 nt
Organism: Pteropus vampyrus (large flying fox)
Lineage: Eukaryota; Metazoa; Chordata; Mammalia; Chiroptera; Pteropodidae
Gene: 7SK
Rfam family: 7SK RNA
About the family: 7SK was discovered as an abundant small nuclear RNA in the mid-70s but a possible function has only recently been suggested.
Source: Ensembl
GGAUGUGAGGGCGAUCUGGCUGCGACAUCUGUUACUCCACUGAUCACCAGGGUUGAUUUGGCUGAUCUAGCUGGCUAGGCGGGUGUCCUCUUCCUCCUUCACCAUUCCAGGUGUGUCCCUCCCAAAGCUGUGUGCUCAGUCGAAGAGGAUGACCUUCCUUGAUAGAGAAUAGGACUAUUCUUCGGUCAAGGGUAUACGAGUAGAUGAGCUCUCCUGCUAGAACCUCCAAACAAGCUCCCAAGAAAAAGCUAAAGAAGUUCAUCAUCACCAAACCAGUAUUACAAGAAAUAUUAAAGAAACUUCUUU